This 467-nucleotide long non-coding RNA is filed under the name Bos taurus (domestic cattle). Its description in RNAcentral is "long non-coding RNA NONBTAT015914". Lineage: Eukaryota; Metazoa; Chordata; Mammalia; Artiodactyla; Bovidae. The record is from RNAcentral.
UCCAUGAUGGUUCACAGAAAAGAGUAGCAUUUUAUAAAAAGCCCUGGAUCUCCCUUGAGAUUUUAUCUUUGCCUUAAAAGAGUAUUUUAAAGAAAUCCUGGCCUAUGGAAUGAUCGAUCGGUUUUAAACAAAUACAAGGAAGUUAAAUUUAGGAGAUCUUCUCCAAAGCCAAGGUGGUUUAAUUGAUAUUUCCAAAAUCAUGCUUACUUUUUAAAAAUUGGUUUAACUGUGGCAUAAGUGGAAUCAUUCCAAUUCUAAGCUUUUUUUUUUUUCCUUUCUUGCUACUAAUUAAAUUUCUCUAGUAAAACAAGAACACCAAAUUCAAGAAUUCUAAACCAAAAGCUCCUUGAGUUUUUUUUUACCGCUUAAAUAAGGAACACUCACACCAUGCAAAUACCAAAGAACUAUUUGAGUUAGAAAAUUUUUUGGAUAUUUUAACUUAACCAGAAUUUAAACAGAAAAAUUAC